AAGACUAUAGACCUGCGGAGUACCUGCGGAAGGAUCAUUAAUGAGAAACUGCCCCUCGCGGGUAGAUCUCCCACCCUUUGUAAACUUACCUUUGUUGCUUUGGCAGGCCCGUCUCCGGACCGCCGGCUUCGGCUGGCCAGUGCCUGCCAGAGGAUUCUAAAACUCUGUCUGUCAGUGUUGUCUGAGUCUAUAUACAAUCGUUAAAACUUUUAGCAAUGGAUCUCUAGAUCGGAAGAGCAC
This 240-nucleotide unclassified non-coding RNA is filed under the name soil metagenome. Its description in RNAcentral is "partial contains 5.8S ribosomal RNA, internal transcribed spacer 2, and large subunit ribosomal RNA". The record is from RNAcentral.